This 997-nucleotide long non-coding RNA is filed under the name Cyanistes caeruleus (blue tit). Its description in RNAcentral is "lncRNA (ENSCCEG00000012946.1)". The record is from RNAcentral. Lineage: Eukaryota; Metazoa; Chordata; Aves; Passeriformes; Paridae.
AUGAGGAACUGGAGUGACAGGACAAGGAGUAACAGGUGCUACGUGGGGUGCAGAAAAACAUGCUUGGCAACAGCUCCUGGCUUGGAGAGAGUAAACGUGUCUGAAAGCGUCCAAAUCUGUCUGCAUAACAGGGGGAGAAUGGAAGUGAAGUUUUCUCCUUCAACAGAACCCCAAAUGUCCUCUUCAGAUGCAUCAGAUGUCCCGCUCAGCCAGUUAACAGAAGGCUUCUGGGGGUUACUGUGGGUAAGUAAACUUAAACUCACCAGAAUUUCAUCCCAGAGGUAUGUUACACUGGGAGACGUCCCUCAGUUCAUUCUUCAAAGGGACAGCAUGGCCUUUUUUGCCUGACAUGAACACCUCCUUCCCUACAUCAGCAUUUGCAGAUGUAUUGUGUGCUGACAUUUCUAGCCUUCAGCUUUUCCCUCCAGAAUUUUCCUGUUUCUGCCUGUGCAGUAAGGUGGAAGUUCCUGCCCUGCCAGAUAAGGAUGGCUUUCCUCAUCUAAUUCAGAGCCCCUUAUUGAAGCAGGUUCUGCUGUGCAAGGGGCAGCUGACUCAAAGUUAGGAGGGCAAGAAUGAGGCGUUCAGAUUCCUCCAGAUGCAAAAGUCACCUCUGACCCAGCUAUGGAGGGAGGGAAAGAAGAGAAAUAUCUUCUUGCUGCUGCCAGGGAAGGCUCCCUGCCAGCCCUGCCAAAAGCCCCAGCUGUCCUCAGCUCAGCUGCCAGAGUAGCUUCUCCCACUGGACUCCAGGCUCUUGUCCACACCAGGCAGUUGAAGCAAAGGUGUGAUUUCAAGUGGGUUUAACUAAACUAUGACUAAUUUCCCAUGAAUGCAAGACUUAGAAAAAUCGAUUCGCUUCUAUGGGACUGCUGACAAAUGUGUGUAAGUUUACACAGGGGAAUUUUCCAGCUCAGUGGUCUGUGAACGAGUACAGGAGUUCACUCAAACACUUAAGAAGCAUGUGAGAUGCGGAAAAUAAAAUAGUCAAUAAUACAUUUCA